Molecule: ribosomal RNA, 254 nt
Filed under: uncultured prokaryote
Description: partial 16S ribosomal RNA
Rfam family: Bacterial small subunit ribosomal RNA
Source: RNAcentral
CACGUAGGGUGCGAGCGUUGUCCGGAAUUAUUGGGCGUAAAGAGCUCGUAGGCGGUGCGUCGCGUCGGCCGUGAAAACCUGCAGCUUAACUGUGGGCGUGCGGUCGAUACGGGCAUCACUGGAGUUCGGCAGGGGAGACUGGAAUUCCUGGUGUAGCGGUGAAAUGCGCAGAUAUCAGGAGGAACACCGAUGGUGAAGGCAGCUCGCUGGGACGGUACUGACGCUGAGGCGCGAAAGCGUGGGGAGCAAACAGG